AUUACAUUUCGUGCUCAGCACUUUCAUUACAUUAUUGAUCAGUUAUUACAUUUCAGGUUUUAUUGCCUUUUUUUUUUGUGUAACAAUUCAGGCCGUCGUUAUAUAUCAAUCUCUAACAUGUUUAUUCUAAUGUGUGAUUGUAAAAAACUAACAUUUCCUGUUACUUGAAGUGACUUUUUUAACUUAACCAAAUAUCCACUGUAAAUCCACUAUAUGUUCUAUCUGUUCACAUUUUAAACUGGCAGAGUGUUAAUCACAGGUCUAUCUGUCAGGUGUGUGUGUGUGUGUGUGUGUGUGUGUGGUUUCACUGCCUGGAAUCGGACAGAGAGCCCCUGACUUCCUCUCAUUUGCUCACAGAGCUCCACAUUUCACCAACAGUGAUGAAUCUCCUCUGACUCUCAUCAUUAUGAUCGAUGAUUCGUGCUUCAGUGAAAUGGCCAUGAGUAUGUGUUACAUCCUAGACGGGAUUAUGCUGCUGUACGGCAUCAUUCUCACCGUGUCAUACUGCCUAGUGAGGACACGUUCAAAAAGAAAAGCCCUUGAGAGGCAGUCUGCAGGGGAAGGCAUCUAUGCAGGCUUGACGUCUAAAACUGACGACACUUACGAGACCAUCGAAAAGAAAAAGAAAAAGAACAAGAAGUCUUCUACUCGAUGAACACAUUUGUCCGGAGAUGCUUUUUAUGGUUUUUGGACAUUUUAAUUGUUUGGCCUACAAAAUACACAAAAGGACCAAUAAAACACACAAAAUUACUUGGAAAAACA
RNAcentral lists this long non-coding RNA (762 nucleotides) under Gouania willdenowi (blunt-snouted clingfish). RNAcentral describes it as "lncRNA (ENSGWIG00000016552.1)". Lineage: Eukaryota; Metazoa; Chordata; Actinopteri; Blenniiformes; Gobiesocidae. The record is from RNAcentral.